RNAcentral lists this ribosomal RNA (495 nucleotides) under uncultured bacterium. Its description in RNAcentral is "partial 16S ribosomal RNA". It matches the Rfam family "Bacterial small subunit ribosomal RNA", at positions 28 to 507 of the family's 1533-position model. The record is from RNAcentral.
GACGAACGCUGGCGGCGUGCCUAAUACAUGCAAGUAGAACGCUGGAGGGGGAGCUUGCUUCGCUGGAUGAGUUGCGCGCGGGUGAGUAACGCGUAGGUAACCUGCCUGGUAGCGGGGGAUAACUGUUGGCAGCGAUAGCUAAUACAGCAUAAUAGCGGUUGUUGCAUGACGACUGUUUGAAAGGUGCAUAUGAGCCACUACCAGAUGGGCCUUCCUGGUAUUAGGUGGAUUGUGGGGUAACGGCUCACCAAGGGGACCAUACUUAGCCGACUUGAGAGGGUGAUCGACGACAAUGGGAAUGAGAACCGGCCCAGACUCCCUAGGGAGGCAGCAAGAGGGAAACAUCGGAAAUGGACGGAAAUCUUACCGAGCAACGCCGCGUGAGGGAAGAAGGUUUUCGGAACGUAAAGCUCUGUUGUAAUAGAAGAACGAGUAUGAGAGUGGAAAGUUCACACUUUGACGGUAUCUUACCAGAAAGCGACGGCUAACUACGUG